Molecule: ribosomal RNA, 253 nt
Filed under: uncultured bacterium
Lineage: Bacteria
Description: partial 16S ribosomal RNA
Rfam family: Bacterial small subunit ribosomal RNA
Source: RNAcentral
UACGAGGGGGGCAAGCGUUGUUCGGAAUUAUUGGGCGUAAAGGGUGCGUAGGCGGUUUGGUAAGUCUUAUGUGAAAUCUACAGGCUCAACUUGUAGUCUGCAUGAGAAACUGCCGGGCUUGAGUAUGGGAGAGGUGAGUGGAAUUCCUGGUGUAGCGGUGAAAUGCGUAGAUAUCAGGAGGAACACCUGUGGCGAAAGCGGCUCACUGGACCAUAACUGACGCUGAUGCACGAAAGCUGGGGGAGCAAACAGG